CAUACAUAUACAUACAUAUAUACAUAUAUAUAUAUAUAUAUAUAUAUAUACAUAUAAUACAUACAUAUACAUAUAAAGAACAAUUGGAUGUAAUUUUUGUCUGCAUGAUGUGGACGAACAACAAUCAAAUUGAAAACCAGUUAGUGAAGGUUAUACGAUAACUAACUUAGCAACAGAAUUCAUCAUGAUUAAAUCAUAGAGAGAAACUAUUUGAGAAGUAGAAAAGAGAGGAGGAGGAGGGAGAGAGAGAGAGAGAGAGAGAGAGAGAGAGAGAGAGAGAGAGAGAUAGAGAGAGUGUGUGUGUAGGGUAAGGAAUGACCGAAUCAGAGAAAGUUAAUUACUGUACGGUAGGUACCGCAAUGUGUUAAUAUCGUUAAAACAAGGGACUUUGCCGAAUAUUGUCAAACCGGUUUCAGUCCCUUUCCCCCCCUGCUCUUCACCUUAAACAGGAAAUGAAUAUAAGUGGUUAAUGACGGUUAAAUUACAUGCUAUUAAUCAAAGUCUGGUCUGAUUCAUAACGAACAACACAUACACUCGAUAUUAUGUUCCACCCAACACCUUGAUAACUUCUAUUACAAGCAAGAGAGAAAAAAAAAACACCUCGUGUCUAAACACCAACCAAAUCUCUGCUCAUAGUUUAGUUUCGUAGCUGUUUCGUUUUUUUUUUUUAACAUUUCUAUUUCUUAUUCUCCAGUUCUUACCACACACCCAUGUCUAUUAAUAACAUCUUAAUAACAUAUAUAUAAAUAUGUGCAUAUAUAUAUAUAUAUGUGUGUGUGUGUGUGUGUGUAUAUGUGAGUGUGUAUAUAUAUAUGCGUAUAUAUAUAUAUAUAUGGGUGUGUGUAUA
This 847-nucleotide long non-coding RNA is filed under the name Octopus vulgaris (common octopus). Lineage: Eukaryota; Metazoa; Mollusca; Cephalopoda; Octopoda; Octopodidae. The record is from RNAcentral.